RNAcentral lists this ribosomal RNA (492 nucleotides) under uncultured bacterium. RNAcentral's name for it is "partial 16S ribosomal RNA". It matches the Rfam family "Bacterial small subunit ribosomal RNA", at positions 28 to 507 of the family's 1533-position model. The record is from RNAcentral.
GAUGAACGCUAGCUACAGGCUUAACACAUGCAAGUCGAGGGGAAACGACAUCGAAAGCUUGCUUUUGAUGGGCGUCGACCGGCGCACGGGUGAGUAACGCGUAUCCAACCUGCCCAUCACUUGGGAAUAACCUUGCGAAAGUAAGACUAAUACCCAAUGACAUCCCACGAAGACAUCUGAAUGGGAUUAAAGAUUUAUCGGUGAUGGAUGGGGAUGCGUCUGAUUAGCUUGUUGGCGGGGUAACGGCCCACCAAGGCAACGAUCAGUAGGGGUUCUGAGAGGAAGGUCCCCCACAUUGGAACUGAGACACGGUCCAAACUCCUACGGGAGGCAGCAGUGAGGAAUAUUGGUCAAUGGGCGAGGGCCUGAACCAGCCAAGUAGCGUGCAGGAUGACGGCCCUAUGGGUUGUAAACUGCUUUUAUAAGGGAAUAAAGUGGGUCUCGUGAGACUUUUUGCAUGUACCUUAUGAAUAAGGACCGGCUAAUUCCGUG